UGCGGAGGGAGCUAGCGUUGUUCGGAAUUACUGGGCGUAAAGAGCGCGUAGGCGGCUAACUAAGUUGGGAGUGAAAUCCCAGGGCUUAACCCUGGAAUGGCUUUCAAAACUGGUUAGCUAGAGGACGAUAUAGGAUGGUGGAAUUCCUAGUGUAGAGGUGAAAUUCUUAGAUAUUAGGAGGAACAUCGGAGGCGAAGGCGACCAUCUGGGUCGUAUCUGACGCUGAGGCGCGAAAGCGUGGGGAGCAAACAGG
This 253-nucleotide ribosomal RNA is filed under the name uncultured bacterium. RNAcentral describes it as "partial 16S ribosomal RNA". It matches the Rfam family "Bacterial small subunit ribosomal RNA", at positions 524 to 776 of the family's 1533-position model. The record is from RNAcentral.